RNAcentral lists this ribosomal RNA (980 nucleotides) under Pseudomonadales bacterium. RNAcentral describes it as "bacterial SSU rRNA". It matches the Rfam family "Bacterial small subunit ribosomal RNA", at positions 228 to 1166 of the family's 1533-position model. Lineage: Bacteria; Pseudomonadati; Pseudomonadota; Gammaproteobacteria; Pseudomonadales. The record is from RNAcentral.
AGCCUAGGUCGGAUUAGCUAGUUGGUGAGGUAAUGGCUCACCAAGGCGACGAUCCGUAACUGGUCUGAGAGGAUGAUCAGUCACACUGGAACUGAGACACGGUCCAGACUCCUACGGGAGGCAGCAGUGGGGAAUAUUGGACAAUGGGCGAAAGCCUGAUCCAGCCAUGCCGCGUGUGUGAAGAAGGUCUUCGGAUUGUAAAGCACUUUAAGUUGGGAGGAAGGGUUGUAGAUUAAUACUCUGCAAUUUUGACGUUACCGACAGAAUAAGCACCGGCUAACUCUGUGCCAGCAGCCGCGGUAAUACAGAGGGUGCAAGCGUUAAUCGGAAUUACUGGGCGUAAAGCGCGCGUAGGUGGUUUGUUAAGUUGGAUGUGAAAGCCCCGGGCUCAACCUGGGAACUGCAUCCAAAACUGGCAAGCUAGAGUACGGUAGAGGGUGGUGGAAUUUCCUGUGUAGCGGUGAAAUGCGUAGAUAUAGGAAGGAACACCAGUGGCGAAGGCGACCACCUGGACUGAUACUGACACUGAGGUGCGAAAGCGUGGGGAGCAAACAGGAUUAGAUACCCUGGUAGUCCACGCCGUAAACGAUGUCAACUAGCCGUUGGAAUCCUUGAGAUUUUAGUGGCGCAGCUAACGCAUUAAUUUGACCGCCUGGGGGAGUACCGGCCGCAAGGGUUAAAACUCAAAUUGAAUUUGACGGGGGGCCCCGCACAAAGCGGUGGGAGCCUGGUGGGUUUAAUUUCGAAACCAACCGCGAAAGAACCUUUACCUGGGCCUUUGACAUGGCUGGAGAACUUUUCCAAGAAGAUGGGAUUGGGUGGCCUUCCGGGGAACUCCAGAACACAAGGUGCUUGCAUUGGCUUGUCCGCCACCUCCGUGUCCCUGGAAAUUGGUUGGGGUUUAAGUUCCCCGUAACCGAGCCGCAACCCCUUUGCCCCUUAAGUUACCAAGGCACGGUUAAUGGGUGGGGAAAUCUCUU